Long non-coding RNA from Nymphaea colorata (pocket water lily), 592 nucleotides. RefSeq lists it as uncharacterized. The transcript is spliced from 3 exons. The record is from RefSeq and is a predicted model, not a curated record. NCBI's taxonomy places the organism in Eukaryota, Viridiplantae, Streptophyta, Magnoliopsida, Nymphaeales, Nymphaeaceae.
CGUAAUCAUUGUACUGGCGAGCUUCUGCCGCGGCUGGUUCGGGAUGGUGGUGGCGAUGGUGGUGGUGGUGCCGAAAGCGGCUCAGUUAUUAACAUUCUCUGGUUGCAUCUGCUGCUGCGCAUUCAAUGGCGUGCAUGCCUGACAGAGGACGAUUUCCAUGAGAUUCAUUCAGCCGACCGUCGACUCUCCCCAAAUAAAGCCACCUACGUCGCCUAUCAACUGCGGCAUCUGCACCAAAAGGGAGCAAGGAGACAAGCCCUCCCCCAUGGACGCCUACCACUGUGAUCUACACACGCCACACACUCACACACACAUGGAAGAAAUAACCCAGCAUCUUCGCCGGUCGGAUGAGGACAAGGAGCCCUAGAUCUCCGCCUUUUGUACCUGCAAAGGAAAGGGCACAUACCGUUACCAUUACCAAUAUGUGGAGAUGCUUUGAUUGAAAUGAUGGACGACAUAUUUACUGGCAACCCAGCCAAGUUGGCAAAGUAUUCGAUGAACUGUCUUGGAUCAUCUGAUUGAUCUUUAAAGUUCGCUUCCUCUGCGUUUUAUUUUGCUGUGCUUUGAACUCGUGCUGCCCCUGAGCAUGCGU